GAAAAGUUAGUUUAAUCAAAAUAUUAACUUGUCAAGUUAAAGAAAUUUCUUAAUACUUUUCU
Molecule: transfer RNA, 62 nt
Filed under: Macropes robustus
Lineage: Eukaryota; Metazoa; Arthropoda; Insecta; Hemiptera; Blissidae
Description: tRNA-Asp
Source: RNAcentral